Oncorhynchus kisutch (coho salmon) is the source of this 527-nucleotide long non-coding RNA. RefSeq lists it as uncharacterized. The transcript is spliced from 2 exons. The record is from RefSeq and is a predicted model, not a curated record. Lineage: Eukaryota; Metazoa; Chordata; Actinopteri; Salmoniformes; Salmonidae.
CGUGCACACCCUUUCACAGGUUUCUCCAAGAAUGUGCAAGACAAAUUCAUCAGCAGGCCAGAAUGCGCUGUUUGCUGGGCCGGUGACUAUGGUUACUACAUAAUGUGGCCAGUGGAGUGGUUUUGGUAUCACUGAGGCCGGUGAUGAAGCUGAGGUGCUGGAGGUUCCUCCGCCCCCCAUGGACAUCGAGGGGGUGCCGGCGUAUGCAGUUCGGUCCAUACUGGACUCGAGGUGUCGGGUGAGGGGCCUUCAGUACCUCGUGGAUUGGGAGGGGUACAGUCCGGAGGAAAGAUGCUGGGUUCCGGUGGAGGACGUAUUGGACCCAUCUAUGCUGAGAGAGUUUCACCGCCUCCAUCCGGAUUUUUAUGCCAUUCUUUGUUUUCGCGGUUUCAUAAGAGUGUUAUUGUCGGAACUUUGUUUGAUCCUCCGUGUGUUUGUACGGGUUCUCUGUUGUCGAGGGUGUUGUACUUUUUUGAUUGUGCCAUACCUGUGUUGGUGGACUUGCCAAUUAAAGUAUGCUUCUCAGA